RNAcentral lists this ribosomal RNA (502 nucleotides) under uncultured Glomus. RNAcentral's name for it is "SSU rRNA". It matches the Rfam family "Eukaryotic small subunit ribosomal RNA", at positions 569 to 1075 of the family's 1831-position model. The record is from RNAcentral. Lineage: Eukaryota; Fungi; Glomeromycota; Glomeromycetes; Glomerales; Glomeraceae.
AGCAGCCGCGGUAAUUCCAGCUCCAAUAGCGUAUAUUAAAGUUGUUACAGUUAAAAAGCUCGUAGUUGAAUUUCGGGGUCAGUAGGUCGGUCGUGCCACUGGUAUGAACUGGUUUUACUGAUUCCUCCCUCUUGAAGAACUGUAAUGCCAUUAAUUUGGUGUUGCAGGGAAUCAGGACUGUUACUUUGAAAAAUUAGAGUGUUUAAAGCAGGCUUUAGCUUGAAUACAUUAGCAUGGAAUAAUGAAAUAGGACGUUUGAUCCUAUUUUGUUGGUUUCUAGGAUUGACGUAAUGAUUAAUAGGGAUAGUUGGGGCAUUAGUAUUCAAUUGUCAGAGGUGAAAUUCUUGGAUUUAUUGAAGACUAACUACUGCGAAAGCAUUUUGCCAAGGAUGUUUUCAUUAAUCAAGAACGAAAGUUAGGGGAUCGAAGACGAUCAGAUACCGUCGUAGUCUUAACCAUAAACUAUGCCGAACUAGGGAUCGGAUGAUGUUAAUUUUUAAUG